Small nuclear RNA from Tachyglossus aculeatus (Australian echidna), 141 nucleotides. RefSeq annotates it as U4 spliceosomal RNA. The transcript has a single exon. NCBI's taxonomy places the organism in Eukaryota, Metazoa, Chordata, Mammalia, Monotremata, Tachyglossidae. The record is from RefSeq and is a predicted model, not a curated record.
UUGAUUACUAAGUGGCAGUAUCAUAGCCAAUGAGGUCUAUCUGAAGCGCAAUUAUUGCUGAUUGAAAACUUUUCCCAACACCCCGCCAUGACGACUUGAAAUACAGUCGGCUUUGGCAAUUUUUGACAGUCUCCACGGAGA